CCUACGGGGUGCAGCAGUGGGGAAUAUUGGGCAAUGGGCGCAAGCCUGACCCAGCAAAGCCGCGUGAAGGAAGAAGGCCCUCGGGUUGUAAACUUCUUUUAUCAGGGACGAAACAAAUGACGGUACCUGAUGAAUAAGCCACGGCUAACUACGUGCCAGCAGCCGCGGUAAUACGUAGGUGGCAAGCGUUAUCCGGAUUUACUGGGUGUAAAGGGCGUGUAGGCGGGAGAGGAGGUCAGACGUGAAAUUCCAGGGCUCAACCGUGGAACUGCGUUUGAAACUGUUCUUCUUGAGUGAUGGAGAGGCAGGCGGAAUUCCGUGUGGAGCGGUGAAAUGCGUAGAUAUACGGAGGAACACCAGUGGCGAAGGCGGCCUGCUGGACAGUAACUGACGCUGAGGCGCGAAAGCGUGGGGAGCAAACAGGAUUAGAUACCCCAGUAGUC
RNAcentral lists this ribosomal RNA (443 nucleotides) under uncultured bacterium. RNAcentral's name for it is "partial 16S ribosomal RNA". It matches the Rfam family "Bacterial small subunit ribosomal RNA", at positions 338 to 795 of the family's 1533-position model. The record is from RNAcentral.